CCUACGGGUGACAGCAGUGAGGAAUAUUGGUCAAUGGGCGGGAGCCUGAACCAGCCAAGUCGCGUGAGGGAAGACGGUCCUAUGGAUUGUAAACCUCUUUAGGCGGGGAGCAAUGCCGGGCACGCGUGCCCGGAGGUAGAGUACCCGCAGAAUAAGCAUCGGCUAACUCCGUGCCAGCAGCCGCGGUAAUACGGAGGAUGCGAGCGUUAUCCGGAUUUAUUGGGUUUAAGGGGUGCGUAGGCGGAUUUUUAAGUCAGCGGUAAAAUGUCCGGGCUCAACCCGGGCCGGCCGUUGAAACUGGGGAUCUGGAGGGGGCUAGAAGUAUGCGGAAUGCGUGGUGUAGCGGUGAAAUGCAUAGAUAUCACGCAGAACUCCGAUUGCGAAGGCAGCAUACCGGCGCGCGACUGACGCUGAGGCACGAAAGCGUGGGGAUCGAACAGGAUUAGAUACCCUGGUAGUC
RNAcentral lists this ribosomal RNA (460 nucleotides) under uncultured bacterium. RNAcentral's name for it is "partial 16S ribosomal RNA". It matches the Rfam family "Bacterial small subunit ribosomal RNA", at positions 338 to 795 of the family's 1533-position model. The record is from RNAcentral.